CAGCAGACACAUUCCAGCAAAUCAGCAGCAGACCCUCCCUCCCAGAUCCUCCCACCUCCUGGACAGCAUCCAUUUUGAAGCUGCAUUCUUAGUGAGCUGUCCAGGAGGUGGGAGGGUCUGGGAGGGAGGGUCUGCUGCUGAUUGGCUGGAAUGUGUCUGCUG
RNAcentral lists this microRNA precursor (162 nucleotides) under Pelobates cultripes (western spadefoot toad). Lineage: Eukaryota; Metazoa; Chordata; Amphibia; Anura; Pelobatidae. The record is from RNAcentral.